This 18-nucleotide ribosomal RNA is filed under the name Lepidocaryum tenue. RNAcentral describes it as "partial 26S ribosomal RNA". Lineage: Eukaryota; Viridiplantae; Streptophyta; Magnoliopsida; Arecales; Arecaceae. The record is from RNAcentral.
UUGACCCCGGUCAGGCGG